UUAUUGCAUUGGACCUGGAU
This 20-nucleotide non-coding RNA is filed under the name Rattus norvegicus (Norway rat). Lineage: Eukaryota; Metazoa; Chordata; Mammalia; Rodentia; Muridae. The record is from RNAcentral.